AACGCGAAGAACCUUACCUACCCUUGACAUCCUGCGAAUCUGACUGAGAGGUUAGAGUGCCGAAAGGAACGCAGAGACAGGUGCUGCAUGGCUGUCGUCAGCUCGUGUUGUGAGAUGUUGGGUUAAGUCCCGUAACGAGCGCAACCCUUGUCCUUAGUUGCCAGCAUUUAGUUGGGGACUCUAAGGAGACUGCCGGUGAGGAACCGGAGGAAGGCGGGGACGACGUCAAGUCAUCAUGGCCUUUAUGGGUAGGGCUACACACGUGCUACAAUGGGGCGUACAGAGGGUAGCCAACCUGCGAAGGGGAGCCAAUCUCUUAAAGCGCCUCGUAGUCCGGAUUGGAGUCUGCAACUCGACUCCAUGAAGUUGGAAUCGCUAGUAAUCGCGAAUCAGCAACGUCGCGGUGAAUACGUUCCCGGGCCUUGUA
Molecule: ribosomal RNA, 427 nt
Filed under: uncultured Gammaproteobacteria bacterium
Lineage: Bacteria; Pseudomonadati; Pseudomonadota; Gammaproteobacteria
Description: bacterial SSU rRNA
Rfam family: Bacterial small subunit ribosomal RNA
Source: RNAcentral